This 994-nucleotide long non-coding RNA is filed under the name Neodiprion lecontei (redheaded pine sawfly). RNAcentral describes it as "uncharacterized LOC124294175, transcript variant X3". Lineage: Eukaryota; Metazoa; Arthropoda; Insecta; Hymenoptera; Diprionidae. The record is from RNAcentral.
GAGCGUUAUAAAUUGAUGCUCGACGGUGAAGUCGGUUAUAUCGGCAGUGUACCUACCCAGCAUGGAGUUCACGGAACCUUGUUCUUUCUACGAUUCAUCUGGAAUUAGAAAGUUCGUUAUGUAUACCGGGUGAACCAAGGCGAUGACUGGUGCUGAUGCAGUGCGAGAAGACGGUGCGGAAUGAAAACCGAUCGAUCAUCAUCGGAAUCCGUCGGAGCUGGAUCAACCGCGAUAGUACCGAGGCAUCAUCCAGGAAUCGACAAUUGGCGAACGAUACGCCGAGCAACUCGUCUCUUGGUAAACACUUGACAGAUUGAUUUCCCGCGUGGCGAUGCUGGGACCGGCCACACUGUGAUUUUCCACUUAUCGGCAACCUCGUGGUGUGCGCGAUACGUACGUUGUUUCAGGACCCAGACAAGCGGAUGAUAAUCCUUGGACCUGAAGACUUUAGUGACAAACCAUCCUCCAGGUCUGAGAAAUUGUGUGGCAACUUUAAGAGCCGACAGAGUCAAGCAGGUUUGCUGAUAGGCAUCGUGCAGCCAAUUUUUACCAACAUUUGGGGCUCCGUCGUUGAGAACAACGUCAGCCUUCCACGUUUUCAACUCUCGGGAGAUGGCGACACGACAUUUGUCCGUUGUAAUGUCUUCGGUAAUGCUGAUACAGCCGGGUAUCGGUUUUAUCGGAAAUAGAUCUAUGCCGAUGACGAUUGACGACACGGGCAUGUUCUGCCGGGCGACUUGCAUCCAACCACCAGGAGCAGCGCAGAGAUCUAUGCAUACUCUGGACUUUUGCAAGAAUUCGAAUUUACGAUUGAGUUGGAUCAACUUGAACGCCGCACGAGAUCUGAAACCUGGGUUAUGGAGCACAAGAGGUUAUGUUAAUCGCUAACGUGCGCUGGUGCUGGACGCUUGCGACAGCCGACGAUACUCUGCGAUGGGGUCUUGUGAGUUUCGAAUAAGCGUAACUUGCCAACACAUGAUAUAUCAAAGCGCGG